This 517-nucleotide ribosomal RNA is filed under the name Bisporella sp. ZW-Geo39-Clark. Its description in RNAcentral is "SSU rRNA". It matches the Rfam family "Eukaryotic small subunit ribosomal RNA", at positions 1 to 534 of the family's 1831-position model. Lineage: Eukaryota; Fungi; Ascomycota; Leotiomycetes; Helotiales; Helotiaceae. The record is from RNAcentral.
UGAAUUCGUAGUCAUAUGCUUGUCUCAAAGAUUAAGCCAUGCAUGUCUAAGUAUAAGCAACUAUACCGUGAAACUGCGAAUGGCUCAUUAAAUCAGUUAUCGUUUAUUUGAUAGUACCUUACUACUUGGAUAACCGUGGUAAUUCUAGAGCUAAUACAUGCUAAAAACCUCGACUUCGGAAGGGGUGUAUUUAUUAGAUAAAAAACCAAUGCCCUUCGGGGCUUCUUGGCGAUUCAUAAUAACUUAACGAAUCGCAUGGCCUUGUGCCGGCGAUGGCUCAUUCAAAUUUCUGCCCUAUCAACUUUCGAUGUUAAUGUAUUGGAUUAACAUGGUUUCAACGGGUAUCGGGGAAUUAGGGUUCUAUUCCGGAGAGGGAGCCUGAGAAACGGCUACCACAUCCAAGGAAGGCAGCAGGCGCGCAAAUUACCCAAUCCCGACACGGGGAGGUAGUGACAAUAAAUACUGAUACAGGGCUCUUUUGGGUCUUGUAAUUGGAAUGAGUACAAUUUAAAUCCCU